GACGAACGCUGGCGGCGUGCUUAACACAUGCAAGUCGAACGGAAAGGCCCUGCUUUUGUGGGGUGCUCGAGUGGCGAACGGGUGAGUAACACGUGAGUAACCUGCCCUUGACUUUGGGAUAACUUCAGGAAACUGGGGCUAAUACCGGAUAGGAGCUCCUGCUGCAUGGUGGGGGUUGGAAAGUUUCGGCGGUUGGGGAUGGACUCGCGGCUUAGCAGCUUGUUGGUGGGGUAGUGGCUUACCAAGGCUUUGACGGGUAGCCGGCCUGAGAGGGUGACCGGCCACAUUGGGACUGAGAUACGGCCCAGCCUCCUACGGGAGGCAGCAGUGGGGAAUAUUGCACAAUGGGCGGAAGCCUGAUGCAGCAACGCCGCGUGCGGGAUGACGGCCUUCGGGUUGUAAACCGCUUUCGCCUGUGACGAAGCGUGAGUGACGGUAAUGGGUAAAGAAGCACCGGCUAACUACGUG
RNAcentral lists this ribosomal RNA (468 nucleotides) under uncultured bacterium. RNAcentral's name for it is "partial 16S ribosomal RNA". It matches the Rfam family "Bacterial small subunit ribosomal RNA", at positions 28 to 507 of the family's 1533-position model. The record is from RNAcentral.